GGCAGUAAGGAUCCUAUACACGUUAGCGGAUGAGGGAGCUUGCUCCUUGAUUCAGCGGCGGACGGGUGAUUAAUGCCUAGGAAUCUGCCUGCGCAGUAGGGGGACAACGAUUUCGAAAGGAACGCAUAUACCGCAAAUUUCCUACGGGACAAACAUGGGACCUUCAGGCCUUGACCUGUCGAUGAUCCUAGGUCGGAUUAUCUACUUGGUGGGGUAAAGGGUCACCCAUGCCACAAUACAUAACUGGUCUGAGAUGAUGAUCGGUCACACUGGAACUGACACACAGGCCAGACUCCUCCAGGAGGCAGGAACGGGGAAUAUUGGACAAUGGGCGAAAGCCUGAUCCAACCCUGCCACGUGUGAGAAGAAAGUCUUCUGAUUGGAAAACACUUUGAUUUGGGAAGAAGGGCAUCCAGUUAAUACCUUGCUGUUUUAGACCUUACCUACUGAAUAAGACACCGAGCUAACUCUGUGCCGCCAGACACCGGAAUACAUCAGGGUCGUCUCGCGUUGAUCGCCAAUUACUGGGAGUAAAGCGCAACGAAUAGUGGUUCGCUUAGGUGGAUGUGAAAACCCCGGGCUCAACCUGGGAACUGCGUCCUAAACUGGUAACCUAUAUUACGGCAGAAGGCGGUGGAAUUUCCUGUGUAGCCCCGAAAUGCGUUUAUUUAAGAAGGAACACCAGUGGCAAAGGCUACCACCUGGACUGAUACUGACACUGACGUGCGAAAGCAUGGGGAGCAAACAG
RNAcentral lists this ribosomal RNA (748 nucleotides) under Aquipseudomonas alcaligenes. RNAcentral describes it as "bacterial SSU rRNA". It matches the Rfam family "Bacterial small subunit ribosomal RNA", at positions 41 to 775 of the family's 1533-position model. Lineage: Bacteria; Pseudomonadati; Pseudomonadota; Gammaproteobacteria; Pseudomonadales; Pseudomonadaceae. The record is from RNAcentral.